GUUUGUUUGCCUCUUACUAGGUCCGUGCUUCCUUACUUCCCAUAUAGUGUUUGUUUUAUGGAAUGUAAAGAAGUAUGGAGCCUGUACGGGCGAAUCAACGU
Molecule: microRNA precursor, 101 nt
Organism: Pediculus humanus corporis (human body louse)
Lineage: Eukaryota; Metazoa; Arthropoda; Insecta; Psocodea; Pediculidae
Source: RefSeq, a predicted model, not a curated record